UCUGUUUGAUUUUCUGUUUUCUGC
This 24-nucleotide non-coding RNA is filed under the name Arabidopsis thaliana (thale cress). Lineage: Eukaryota; Viridiplantae; Streptophyta; Magnoliopsida; Brassicales; Brassicaceae. The record is from RNAcentral.